RNAcentral lists this transfer RNA (95 nucleotides) under Bacillota bacterium. RNAcentral describes it as "tRNA-Ser". It matches the Rfam family "tRNA". From Rfam's summary of the family: Transfer RNA (tRNA) molecules are approximately 80 nucleotides in length. Their secondary structure includes four short double-helical elements and three loops (D, anti-codon, and T loops). The record is from RNAcentral. RNAcentral also lists the same sequence under 4 other names. Lineage: Bacteria; Bacillati; Bacillota.
GGAGGAGUACGGUAGCCCGGUAACCGGCCCGCCUGCUAAGCGGGUGGGCGAGUGUUGAGCUCGCCUCGCGGGUUCAAAUCCCGCCUCCUCCGCCA